AUUGAACGCUGGCGGCAGGCCUAACACAUGCAAGUCGAACGAGUGGCGGACGGGUGAGUGAUGGCUGGGAAACUGCCUGAUGGAGGGGGAUAAGUAGUGGAAACGGUAGCUAAUACCGCAUACCAUCAGAUGUGCCCAGAUGGGAUUAGCUUGUUGUGGGGGUAACGGCUCACCAAGGCUACGAUCCCUAGCUGGUCGUAGAGGAUGACCAGCCACACUGGAACUGAUACACGGUCCAGACUCCUACGUGAGGCAGCAGUGGGGAAUAUUGCACAAUGGGCGAAAGCCUGAUGCAGCCAUGCCGCGUGUAUGAAGAAGGCCUUCGGGUUGUAAAGUACUUUCAGCGGGGAGGCGUUACCCACAGAAGAAGCACCGGCUAACUCCGUGCCAGCAGCCGCGGUAAUAC
RNAcentral lists this ribosomal RNA (406 nucleotides) under uncultured bacterium. Its description in RNAcentral is "partial 16S ribosomal RNA". It matches the Rfam family "Bacterial small subunit ribosomal RNA", at positions 30 to 526 of the family's 1533-position model. The record is from RNAcentral.